RNAcentral lists this ribosomal RNA (253 nucleotides) under uncultured bacterium. RNAcentral's name for it is "partial 16S ribosomal RNA". It matches the Rfam family "Bacterial small subunit ribosomal RNA", at positions 524 to 776 of the family's 1533-position model. The record is from RNAcentral.
UACGGAGGGGGCUAGCGUUGUUCGGAAUUACUGGGCGUAAAGGGCGCGCAGGCGGCUGCUCAAGUCAGGCGUGAAAGCCCAGGGCUCAACCCUGGAAUUGCCUUCGAUACUGUUUGGCUAGAGACCGGAAGAGGUAAGUGGAACUGCGAGUGUAGAGGUGAAAUUCGUAGAUAUUCGCAAGAACACCAGUGGCGAAGGCGGCUUACUGGUCCGGUUCUGACGCUGAGGCGCGAAAGCGUGGGGAGCAAACAGG